GCCUGAGUAGCUCAGUUGGCAGAGCAGCGGUUUUGUAAACCGCAGGCCGUCGGUUCGAGCCCGACCUCAGGCU
RNAcentral lists this transfer RNA (73 nucleotides) under bacterium. RNAcentral describes it as "tRNA-Thr". It matches the Rfam family "tRNA". Rfam says of the family: Transfer RNA (tRNA) molecules are approximately 80 nucleotides in length. Their secondary structure includes four short double-helical elements and three loops (D, anti-codon, and T loops). The record is from RNAcentral. RNAcentral also lists the same sequence under 1 other name.